RNAcentral lists this ribosomal RNA (241 nucleotides) under Paenibacillus lautus. Its description in RNAcentral is "partial 16S ribosomal RNA". It matches the Rfam family "Bacterial small subunit ribosomal RNA", at positions 528 to 769 of the family's 1533-position model. The record is from RNAcentral. Lineage: Bacteria; Bacillati; Bacillota; Bacilli; Caryophanales; Paenibacillaceae.
UAGGGGGCAAGCGUUGUCCGGAAUUAUUGGGCGUAAAGCGCGCGCAGGCGGUUCUUUAAGUCUGGUGUUUAAACCCGAGGCUCAACUUCGGGACGCACUGGAAACUGGGGAACUUGAGUGCAGAAGAGGAGAGUGGAAUUCCACGUGUAGCGGUGAAAUGCGUAGAUAUGUGGAGGAACACCAGUGGCGAAGGCGACUCUCUGGGCUGUAACUGACGCUGAGGCGCGAAAGCGUGGGGAGC